GACGAACGCUGGCGGCGUGCUUAACACAUGCAAGUCGAACGGAAAGGCCCUGCUUUUGUGGGGUGCUCGAGUGGCGAACGGGUGAGUAACACGUGAGUAACCUGCCCUUGACUUUGGGAUAACUUCAGGAAACUGGGGCUAAUACCGGAUAGGAGCCCCUGCUGCAUGGUGGGGGUUGGAAAGUUUCGGCGGUUGGGGAUGGACUCGCGGCUUAUCAGCUUGUUGGUGGGGUAGUGGCUUACCAAGGCUUUGACGGGUAGCCGGCCUGAGAGGGUGACCGGCCACAUUGGGACUGAGAUACGGCCCAGACUACUACGGGAGGCAGCAGUGGGGAAUAUUGCACAAUGGGCGGAAGCCUGAUGCAGCAACGCCGCGUGCGGGAUGACGGCCUUCGGGUUGUAAACCGCUUUCGCCUGUGACGAAGCGUGAGUGACGGUAAUGGGUAAAGAAGCACCGGCUAACUACGUG
RNAcentral lists this ribosomal RNA (468 nucleotides) under uncultured bacterium. RNAcentral's name for it is "partial 16S ribosomal RNA". It matches the Rfam family "Bacterial small subunit ribosomal RNA", at positions 28 to 507 of the family's 1533-position model. The record is from RNAcentral.